AGCUUUGUACAAUGGCACUAUCAUAGCCAAUGAGGUUUAUCCAAGGCACAAUUAUUGCUAAUUGAAAACUGUUUCCAAUGCAUCC
Molecule: small nuclear RNA, 85 nt
Organism: Cavia aperea (Brazilian guinea pig)
Lineage: Eukaryota; Metazoa; Chordata; Mammalia; Rodentia; Caviidae
Gene: U4
Rfam family: U4 spliceosomal RNA
About the family: U4 small nuclear RNA (U4 snRNA) is a component of the major U2-dependent spliceosome. The structure of U4 snRNA from yeast and human has been reported. U4 snRNA presents a k-turn RNA motif in the 5p-SL related to recognition of Snu13 protein.
Source: Ensembl